GAUACUGAAGGUGUGCUAUUUUUCUUGUCAAUCAGGUCAUCAAAAGAAGCGGGCUCAGCUUCGGCAUGUUUUACAGAAGUCAAUUUAUUGUCCCUUGUAGCAUCAGCUUCAACUCUAGCCCUUGUAAUAACACUACCAUCAUUGCUUCUUUUUCCUAAGAUACCAAAAGUCUUGAGCGGAGGAUAAGGUCCAGAUCCAACGGCAAAUUUUCCACCAACUUUGGCAGGGAAA
This 231-nucleotide unclassified non-coding RNA is filed under the name Hevea brasiliensis (rubber tree). The record is from RNAcentral. Lineage: Eukaryota; Viridiplantae; Streptophyta; Magnoliopsida; Malpighiales; Euphorbiaceae.